RNAcentral lists this ribosomal RNA (697 nucleotides) under uncultured Planctomycetota bacterium. RNAcentral's name for it is "bacterial SSU rRNA". It matches the Rfam family "Bacterial small subunit ribosomal RNA", at positions 96 to 806 of the family's 1533-position model. The record is from RNAcentral. Lineage: Bacteria; Pseudomonadati; Planctomycetota.
CGGCGCAGGGAGAGUAACGCGUGGAUAUCUGCCCUCGGCUCCAGAAUAGCUACGGGAAACUGUAGGUAAUGCUGGAUAAUAUCUCCGGAUCAAAGGUGUGAUUCCGGCCGAGGAUGAGUCCGCGUCCUAUUAGAUUGUUGGUGGGGUAAUGGCCUACCAAGUCGAAGAUGGGUACCGGGUGUGAGAGCAUGGCCCGGCUCACUGGGACUGAGACACUGCCAGACGUCUACGGACGGCUGCAGUCGAGAAUCUUCCGCAAUGGGCGCAAGCCUGACGGAGCGACGCCGCGUGCGGGAUGAAGGCCUUCGGGUUGUAAACCGCUGUCAGUUGGGAGGAAAUGCUAUGGGGUUCUCUCCAUAGUUUGACCGAUCUUCAGAGGAAGUACGGGCUAAGUACGUGCCAGCAGCCGCGGUAACACGUACCGUACGAACGUUAUUCGGAAUCACUGGGCUUAAAGAGUCCGUAGGCGGCUAUGUAGGUCAGGUGUGAAAUCCCACGGCUCAACCGUGAACUGCGCUUGAAACCAUAUGGCUAGAGGGAGAUAGAGGAAAGCGGAACUGAUGGUGGAGCGGUGAAAUGCGUUGAUAUCAUCAGGAACACCGGUGGCGAAAGCGGCUUUCUGGGUCUCUUCUAACGCUGAGGGACGAAAGCUAGGGGAGCGAACGGGAUUAGAUACCCCGGUAGUCCUAGCUGUAAA